Non-coding RNA from Phthorimaea operculella (potato tuberworm), 69 nucleotides. Lineage: Eukaryota; Metazoa; Arthropoda; Insecta; Lepidoptera; Gelechiidae. The record is from the annotation of a GenBank genome assembly.
GAUGUGGCGCACCUAGUAGUGCGACUGCUUGGGACGCAGAUGGUUCCGGGUUCGAUUCUCGGUAGCUCA